RNAcentral lists this long non-coding RNA (641 nucleotides) under Fukomys damarensis (Damara mole-rat). RNAcentral describes it as "lncRNA (ENSFDAG00000029254.1)". Lineage: Eukaryota; Metazoa; Chordata; Mammalia; Rodentia; Bathyergidae. The record is from RNAcentral.
CCUUUCAAAAGGAAGAACAGCAAAGCAAUUGUUGCCUAAAGUCUUAGAGGGGAAGAGAGAUGCAGAAUUCACUGAUUCUUCACCUGGGCCCCCGAAUGUUCAGUGUGAUGCAUGCCCAGAGACAGUGUACUCCAGUUCUGGGGGGGACUGAAUUUAGGAUCUUUUACCAUCAUCUGGAGUGUCUUGAGGAGCAUUCCAUCCAGAAAAGGGGACUGUUUCCCUGGAACAAAAACUUGAGCAACCAUCAGAUAACACCCAUCAAAUGAACAGCCAGCUAGGUCACACCUGUGAUAGAGCAAUCCCUCUUAACAGCAAGGAAACCUUGGCCUGUUCCUUGUAGUCUUGGUAGCUGCAACUGGAAUUGGUAGGUGGAGACAGAAGAUGGCCAGGAAGCCACAGCAUGCUGCUUUCAGUGAAUGAUGAUAAACAGAGCCAGACCUCACAUUUUUACCUGGAAAAUCUGAUACCUCUUCCCCUCCUCCACUGUAAAAUUCUCCACAAAAAAAACAGAGGACAGAAAAUUGCAAGUUGUGAUUUAUAAUUGUCAAUAACAUUUGUGUCAUUUUGAUGCUCUAACUCUAUUACAGUAAUUGCUUUCCUCUCUACACUUUAUUUUAAGGUGAACAUUAAUUGAUUAUCAG